CCAGACUCCUACGGGAGGCAGCAGUGAGGAAUAUUGGUCAAUGGGCGCGAGCCUGAACCAGCCAAGUCGCGUGAGGGAUGACGGCCCUACGGGUUGUAAACCUCUUUUGCCGGGGAGCAACGGGCGCCACGUGUGGCGCCACUGAGAGUACCCGGAGAAAAAGCAUCGGCUAACUCCGUGCCAGCAGCCGCGGUAAUACGUAGGGGGCAAGCGUUAUCCGGAUUUACUGGGUGUAAAGGGGGCGCAGACGGCCAUGGCAAGCCCGGUGUGAAAGGCAGGGGCAUAACCCCUGGACUGCACUGGGAACUGUCAGGCUGGAGUGCCGGAGGGGUAAGCGGAAUUCCUGGUGUAGCGGUGAAAUGCGUAGAUAUCACGCAGAACGCCGAUUGCGAAGGCAGCAUACCGGCGCCCAACUGACGCUGAGGCACGAAAGCGUGGGGAUCGAACAGGAUUAGAUACCCUUGUA
RNAcentral lists this ribosomal RNA (466 nucleotides) under uncultured bacterium. RNAcentral describes it as "bacterial SSU rRNA". It matches the Rfam family "Bacterial small subunit ribosomal RNA", at positions 331 to 792 of the family's 1533-position model. The record is from RNAcentral.